AUAUGAACCGUUAUAACCGGCGAUACCCGAAUGGGGAAACCCAGUGUGACUCGUCACACUAUCAUUAACUGAAUCCAUAGGUUAAUGAGGCGAACCGGGGGAACUGAAACAUCUAAGUACCCCGAGGAAAAGAAAUCAACCGAGAUUCCCCCAGUAGCGGCGAGCGAACGGGGAGGAGCCCAGAGCCUGAAUCAGCAUGUGUGUUAGUGGAAGCGUCUGGAAAGGCGCGCGAUACAGGGUGACAGCCCCGUACACAAAAGCGCAUGUGCUGUGAGCUCGAUGAGUAGGGCGGGACACGUGGUAUCCUGUCUGAAUAUGGGGGGACCAUCCUCCAAGGCUAAAUACUCCUGACUGACCGAUAGUGAACCAGUACCGUGAGGGAAAGGCGAAAAGAACCCCGGCGAGGGGAGUGAAAAAGAACCUGAAACCGUGUACGUACAAGCAGUGGGAGCACCCUUUGGGGUGUGACUGCGUACCUUUUGUAUAAUGGGUCAGCGACUUAUAUUCUGUAGCAAGGUUAACCGAAUAGGGGAGCCGGAGGGAAACCGAGUCUUAAUUGGGCGUUAAGUUGCAGGGUAUAGACCCGAAACCCGGUGAUCUAGCCAUGGGCAGGUUGAAGGUUGGGUAACACUAACUGGAGGACCGAACCGACUAAUGUUGAAAAAUUAGCGGAUGACCUGUGGCUGGGGGUGAAAGGCCAAUCAAACCGGGAGAUAGCUGGUUCUCCCCGAAAGCUAUUUAGGUAGCGCCUCGUGAAUUCAUCUCCGGGGGUAGAGCACUGUUUCGGCUAGGGGGCCAUCCCGGCUUACCAACCCGAUGCAAACUGCGAAUACCGGAGAAUGUUAUCACGGGAGACACACGGCGGGUGCUAACGUCCGUCGUGAAGAGGGAAACAACCCAGACCGCCAGCUAAGGUCCCAAAGUCAUGGUUAAGUGGGAAACGAUGUGGGAAGGCCCAGACAGCCAGGAUGUUGGCUUAGAAGCAGCCAUCAUUUAAAGAAAGCGUAAUAGCUCACUGGUCGAGUCGGCCUGCGCGGAAGAUGUAACGGGGCUAAACCAUGCACCGAAGCUGCGGCAGCGACACUCAGGUGUUGUUGGGUAGGGGAGCGUUCUGUAAGCCUGCGAAGGUGGCCUGUGAGGGUUGCUGGAGGUAUCAGAAGUGCGAAUGCUGACAUAAGUAACGAUAAAGCGGGUGAAAAGCCCGCUCGCCGGAAGACCAAGGGUUCCUGUCCAACGUUAAUCGGGGCAGGGUGAGUCGACCCCUAAGGCGAGGCCGAAAGGCGUAGUCGAUGGGAAACGGGUUAAUAUUCCCGUACUUGGUGUUACUGCGAAGGGGGGACGGAGAAGGCUAUGUUGGCCGGGCGACGGUUGUCCCGGUUUAAGCGUGUAGGUGUGUGUUCCAGGUAAAUCCGGUU
This 1415-nucleotide ribosomal RNA is filed under the name Salmonella enterica subsp. enterica. RNAcentral's name for it is "partial 23S ribosomal RNA". It matches the Rfam family "Bacterial large subunit ribosomal RNA", at positions 88 to 1547 of the family's 2925-position model. Lineage: Bacteria; Pseudomonadati; Pseudomonadota; Gammaproteobacteria; Enterobacterales; Enterobacteriaceae. The record is from RNAcentral.